UAAGGCUUGUUUAGAAUGCAAGGCUUCCUCAAUUCUCCACCCUUCCCCUCUUGACAUCUUGCUCUUCUUCCCUUCAUCUAUUGUGUUAGUCAGGUGCAUGCUGGUCUUCCCUCUAUCAAACUGUAAGCUACUUGGAGACUUGGGAUGCCUCACUCAUCUCUAUUCCCAAACCUCAGGGUCUAUCAUUCUACCUUCUGUAUAGACAGGACUUUCAUAGUUUUGAACAAGUCAGAACCUGAAAGAAUUUGCUUCCAGAACAGGACAUUGACAGGAAAAUUAAGCAUGAUCAUGCCGAGUAAAAUAGGAAUAAGAAUUGGACCUACCUCAAGAUCUGUUGAGAAGAUUAUGAGAGAGCUGAUGGAUCUAAAAGAUUGGCGCUUGAUAGAAUUGGGAUCAUUUGUUUUGACUAGAACAAUCUCUUGCAGCUUGGAUGGAGAAACUUUACAGAGGUUUCAGCCAAACACUCAUGAAUUCUUUAAUGUGUGAAAUAAAGAGCUAAAAUAAUAUCUAAGUUUCCUCUUUGCCUGACGCCAUCCAUGCAAAAUGUGACUUGCUUCUUCAGCAGCAGCAUGAAAACAAACUAAUACACCACUAUUCCUAGUUUGUACAACGAAAGGCUAAAAAUUUGGGAGAUGCAGGAUGACUGAAGCCCGAUUCUGGGGGUUGUUACAGCACAGUUACAGGGAUGUUCUCAGGUGUCUGGUGAUCCUUGCUUAUAAGUCCAAAUUAAUGAUGAGGCACUAAAAUGCUGAUUGGAAGCUCUCUGUGCAG
This 771-nucleotide long non-coding RNA is filed under the name Homo sapiens (human). RNAcentral describes it as "HSALNT0364210". Lineage: Eukaryota; Metazoa; Chordata; Mammalia; Primates; Hominidae. The record is from RNAcentral.